Molecule: RNA transcript, 1736 nt
Organism: Ananas comosus (pineapple)
Lineage: Eukaryota; Viridiplantae; Streptophyta; Magnoliopsida; Poales; Bromeliaceae
Gene name: probable envelope ADP,ATP carrier protein, chloroplastic
Exons: 10
Source: RefSeq, a predicted model, not a curated record
UUAUUAUAGAAAAUAGCCUAUGCCGAGCAGCUUCCUCGUUAUCUCGUUCCUCGGUUCACUCUCCCGUCGCUCUCCGGUUCCUCGUGCACUCUCCAAUCUUCUCUCCGCCGAAUCGAGUCGACCCUGCGUCGGCGCGGCAGUAGUGGUGUGUAGGUUCUAGGUCCCCUGCGCCAUGAGCGGCGGAAGCGAAGGCGUGGUACAGUGGCGUCCCAUCCCCAUCCCCAUCCCCCUCCCCCUCCCACCUCCUUCCGCCGUUAUUACAAGUGAGGGUGGCUCCGGAGGGGCAUCGUUGCCUUCCUUCUCCCUCGCAUCCCUCACAGCAGGCGGAGGCGGAGGCGGAGGCGGAGGCGGAGGCGUGGGGGAGAAGGAGUCGGAGGUGGCGCCGCUGCCGCCACCGCCGCCGCCGCUUCCGUCGCCGCAGCAGUUGCUGAGGCAUCCGCUGGCGCUGCUGGCGCUGGUCCCCAACAGCGUGGCCCUCUUCUCAGCAGGGGCCAUCUCCGGCGCCGCCGCCAAAACCCUCACGGCCCCGCUCGACCGCGUCAAGCUUCUCAUGCAGACCCACAGUUUGCGAGCGGCCCAAGGCGGUGGGAAGAAGGGAUUUGGUUUUGUUGAGGCUAUUACAAUGAUUGGGAAGGACGAGGGUAUCAAGGGUUACUGGAAAGGCAAUCUUCCCCAGGUCAUUCGCAUUAUUCCGUAUAGUGCUGUUCAGCUUUUCUCAUAUGAAGUUUACAAGAAACUUUUUAGGAAGAAGGAUGGAGAACUAUCUGUUCUUGGGAGACUUGUUGCAGGUGCUUGUGCUGGAAUGACUUCCACACUUGUAACAUAUCCGUUGGAUGUCCUGCGGCUAAGGCUUGCAGUUGAACCUGGAAGCAGGACAAUGUCUCAGGUCGCCCUAAACAUGUUAAGAGAAGAAGGUUUGGCAUCUUUCUAUGGUGGUCUUGGUCCAUCUCUUAUUGGGAUAGCACCUUAUAUUGCUGUGAACUUCUGCAUGUUUGACUUGGUGAAGAAAUCUCUACCAGAGAGAUAUCAGAGGAGACCAGAGACAUCUCUUGCGACUGCUCUUGUGUCAGCGACACUUGCUACACUAAUGUGCUAUCCUCUGGACACUGUAAGAAGACAGAUGCAAAUGAAAGGCUCACCGUACAAUACUAUUCUUGAUGCUUUUCCAGGUAAAUUGCCGAUCUUUCCACAUGAGUGCUGUGGGAGCCCCAAGGCCACGUUAGCCCAAGUAUUGUGGAGCGUGAUGGAUUAAUCGGGUUGUAUAGAGGUUUUGUGCCCAAUGCACUGAAAACGCUGCCAAAUAGCAGCAUUAAGCUGACGGCAUUUGACACUGUGAAGGGCCUCAUAUCGGCCGGACAGAAGGAGCUUGAGAAAAUCACACAGGAAAACCAGGAGAAAGUAGUUAGUUAGACCUGUGGACGCUGCCCCUUUCCCUUUAUUCCCCCUUUUUUUUUUCUAUCUUGCUUAUGCAAUUUUGGGAGUUUGAUUGUUGCAAUUAGUGUUUUCUCUCUAGUGCUGAGACUUGCAAGCAUAGCAAGGGCAUUUAUUGAGGGCAACUGUUUUGUUUUGUCCUAGAAUAGCAACAACUCUUGCUGGUAUUCUGCUGGCUGAUUGGAAACAUAAUUACUGUCUCUUACACGUCGCACAAAAUUUGUAGAUGCUGCAGAUACAGAUUUAAGAAAAAUAUGUUGCAUAGGAUACUUCUGAAUAUGUGAUGGUCAAUCAAGCUUAAUCGA